CCUACGGGCGGCAGCAGUGGGGAAUAUUGGACAAUGGGGGCAACCCUGAUCCAGCCAUGCCGCGUGUGUGAAGAAGGCCCUCGGGUUGUAAAGCACUUUCAGUGAGGAAGAACGCCUGGUGGUUAAUACCCAUCAGGAAAGACAUCACUCACAGAAGAAGCACCGGCUAACUCCGUGCCAGCAGCCGCGGUAAUACGGAGGGUGCGAGCGUUAAUCGGAAUUACUGGGCGUAAAGCGCGCGUAGGUGGCUUGAUAAGCCGGUUGUGAAAGCCCCGGGCUCAACCUGGGAACUGCAUCCGGAACUGUCAAGCUAGAGUGCAGGAGAGGAAGGUAGAAUUCCCGGUGUAGCGGUGAAAUGCGUAGAGAUCGGGAGGAAUACCAGUGGCGAAGGCGGCCUUCUGGACUGACACUGACACUGAGGUGCGAAAGCGUGGGUAGCAAACAGGAUUAGAUACCCUAGUAGUC
Molecule: ribosomal RNA, 465 nt
Filed under: Vreelandella stevensii
Lineage: Bacteria; Pseudomonadati; Pseudomonadota; Gammaproteobacteria; Oceanospirillales; Halomonadaceae
Description: partial 16S ribosomal RNA
Rfam family: Bacterial small subunit ribosomal RNA
Source: RNAcentral